RNAcentral lists this ribosomal RNA (403 nucleotides) under uncultured Eubacteriales bacterium. Its description in RNAcentral is "uncultured Clostridiales bacterium partial 16S ribosomal RNA". It matches the Rfam family "Bacterial small subunit ribosomal RNA", at positions 355 to 774 of the family's 1533-position model. The record is from RNAcentral. Lineage: Bacteria; Bacillati; Bacillota; Clostridia; Eubacteriales.
UGGGGAAUAUUGGGCAAUGGAGGAAACUCUGACCCAGCAACGCCGCGUGAAGGAUGAAGGUCUUCGGAUUGUAAACUUCUGUCGCAGGGGACGAAGAAUGACGGUACCCUGUAAGAAAGCCCCGGCAAACUACGUGCCAGCAGCCGCGGUAAUACGUAGGGGGCAAGCGUUGUCCGGAAUGACUGGGUGUAAAGGGAGUGUAGGCGGCUUGGUAAGUUAUGUGUGAAAGCCCCGAGCUUAACUCGGGAACUGCACAUAAGACUGCCUGGCUAGAGUGCAGGAGAGGCAAGUGGAAUUCCUAGUGUAGCGGUGGAAUGCGUAGAUAUUAGGAGGAACACCAGUGGCGAAGGCGACUUGCUGGACUGUAACUGACGCUGAGGCUCGAAAGCGUGGGGAGCAAACA